UAAAGUUCUGAGUAGAUAAUUGAUAAUGACAAACUUCUAUUCAUAUGUCUUGACCAAUUCUUGUGCCAGCAGUCGCGGUAACACAAGUAAGACUAGUGUUAUUCAUCAUUAUUAGGUUUAAAGGGUACCUAGACGGCUAGAGUUUUAUGUGAGAGGAUAAUAGUCGAAUUAUAGGUGUAGAGAUAAAAUUCUGUCAUACUUAUAGGACGUGUAACGGCGAAAGCAACCCUUUAUAACUGACGUUAAGGGACGAAGGCUCGGGGCGCAAACAGGAUUAGUUACCCCAGUAGUCCGGGCAGACAAUUAUGAAUGUUAAAAUAAAUGAAAGUGUAAGCAUUCCACCUCAAGAGUAAUGCGGCAACGCAGGAACUGAAAUCAUUAGACCGUUUCUGAAACCAGUAGUGAAGUAUGUUAUUUAAUUCGAUGAUCCACGAAAAACCUUACCACAAUUUGAAU
RNAcentral lists this ribosomal RNA (456 nucleotides) under Mucomycosphaerella eurypotami. RNAcentral describes it as "SSU rRNA". It matches the Rfam family "Bacterial small subunit ribosomal RNA", at positions 426 to 986 of the family's 1533-position model. The record is from RNAcentral. Lineage: Eukaryota; Fungi; Ascomycota; Dothideomycetes; Capnodiales.